GUUCACUUCGGCAGCACAUGUACUAAAAUUGGAACUGGAAUGAUACAGAGAAGAUUCGCAUGGCCCCUGAGCAAAGGUAACACAAAAAUUUGUGAAGCGUUACAUGUUAAA
Molecule: small nuclear RNA, 111 nt
Organism: Sorex araneus (European shrew)
Lineage: Eukaryota; Metazoa; Chordata; Mammalia; Eulipotyphla; Soricidae
Source: RefSeq, a predicted model, not a curated record